AUUGAACGCUGGCGGCAUGCUUUACACAUGCAAGUCGAACGGCAGCGGGGAGGAGCUUGCUUCUCUGCCGGCGAGUGGCGAACGGGUGAGUAAUACAUCGGAACGUGUCGAGAAGAGGGGGAUAACCACCCGAAAGGGUGGCUAAUACCGCAUAAAUUCUGAGGAAGAAAGCUGGGGACCUAGGAAUAGGCCUAGCGCUUUUUGAGCGGCCGAUGUCGGAUUAGCUAGUUGGUGAGGUAAAGGCUCACCAAGGCGAAGAUCUGUAGCGGGUCUGAGAGGAUGAUCCGACACACUGGGACUGAGACACGGCCCAGACUCCUACGGGAGGCAGCAGUGGGGAAUUUUGGACAAUGGGGGCAACCCUGAUCCAGCCAUGCCGCGUGUAUGAAGAAGGCCUUAGGGUUGUAAAGUACUUUUGUUAGGGAAGAAAAGUCAGCUGUGAAUAAAGGCUGAUAAUGACGGUACCUAAAGAAUAAGCAACGGCUAACUACGUG
Molecule: ribosomal RNA, 494 nt
Filed under: uncultured bacterium
Lineage: Bacteria
Description: partial 16S ribosomal RNA
Rfam family: Bacterial small subunit ribosomal RNA
Source: RNAcentral